Non-coding RNA from Potamilus streckersoni, 77 nucleotides. The record is from the annotation of a GenBank genome assembly. NCBI's taxonomy places the organism in Eukaryota, Metazoa, Mollusca, Bivalvia, Unionida, Unionidae.
GACCACUCUGGUGGCUUAGUGGUUUUAGCAUCCACCUCAAAUGUGGGAGGUCAUGGGUUUGAGCUACAGCCAAGUCA